UACAGGGGGUGCAAACGUUGCUCGGAAUCAUUGGGCGUAAAGCGCACGUAGGCGGUCUGUUAUGUCGGAUGUGAAAGCCCUUGGCUCAACUGAGGAAGUGCACCCGAAACUGAGUGGCUAGAGUACGAAAGAGGGUCGCGGAAUUCCCGGUGUAGAGGUGAAAUUCGUAGAUAUCGGGAGGAACACCGGUGGCGAAGGCGGCGACCUGGGUCGAUACUGACGCUGAUGCGCGAAAGCGUGGGGAGCAAACAGG
This 253-nucleotide ribosomal RNA is filed under the name uncultured bacterium. RNAcentral describes it as "partial 16S ribosomal RNA". It matches the Rfam family "Bacterial small subunit ribosomal RNA", at positions 524 to 776 of the family's 1533-position model. The record is from RNAcentral.